RNAcentral lists this unclassified non-coding RNA (354 nucleotides) under soil metagenome. RNAcentral's name for it is "partial contains 5.8S ribosomal RNA, internal transcribed spacer 2, and large subunit ribosomal RNA". The stretch from base 1 to 120 matches the Rfam family "5.8S ribosomal RNA", at positions 35 to 154 of the family's 154-position model. The record is from RNAcentral.
GAUGAAGAACGUAGCGAAAUGCGAUAAGUAGUGUGAAUUGCAGAAUUCAGUGAAUCAUCGAAUCUUUGAACGCACAUUGCGCCUCCUGGUAUUCCGGGAGGCAUGCCUGUUCGAGCGUCAUUAAAAUCACUCAAGCUUAGGUUUACCUAUUGCUUGGUCUUGGAGAUGGAAGCCAAAUUAUUGGAAUCCUCUUCGAAAUUCAAUGGCGAAGACCCUUGCUCUCCCAAGUGUAGUAAUAACUUAUGUCACUGAAGGAAGCGAGAAAUCUUCUGCCGUAACCCCCAUAUUUUCUAUGAUUGACCUCGGAUCAGGUAGGGAUACCCGCUGAACUUAAGCAUAUCAAUAAGCGGAGGA